Molecule: long non-coding RNA, 371 nt
Filed under: Marmota monax (woodchuck)
Lineage: Eukaryota; Metazoa; Chordata; Mammalia; Rodentia; Sciuridae
Source: RNAcentral
GGCAGGACUCCUGCUUAAACCUCUUGCUCUAGAGCUUCCUUGAGGCCGGCCUCCCAAACCUAGCUCUCGGCCAGUGUGGGUAAAUCAUUUCCCCAAACCAGGGAGGCCGAGAGCCGCUGGGAGAUCGGGGUCAAGGAGGCCAGGCUGAGCCCGCGUUAGGGCAGCGGGGCGGUGGGAAGAGGCCAGGGGCUGCCCGGGGUCAGUGAGGCCUGAAGGGCUGGUGGGCGGGUGUCCCUCCCUGAAGAGGCCACUCGGCCCGGGGCUGCCUGGAACCCGCGGCCGAGCAGGAGGGCUCCAGGGGCGGCGAGGCCUAGGCGAGCCCAGCCGGGCGAGGCCCCGAGAGGCUCGGCGCGGGGCGAGCAGCCGACGCC